Molecule: non-coding RNA, 439 nt
Organism: Salvelinus sp. IW2-2015
Lineage: Eukaryota; Metazoa; Chordata; Actinopteri; Salmoniformes; Salmonidae
Source: RefSeq, a predicted model, not a curated record
AAUUCUACCCUUCUUUGAAUUGACAAGACCAGAAAAAGACGUCUAAAAGACGGUCUGUGCUUAGUGUGUAUAUGGGGCGUACAGAAAAACCACACAGCACGAGUGAAUAGGUUGUUUACAUAUUUGWUCAUUCAUCAUAACACCGUUUUUAUCUAGCGUGGACGGGCUCCCUGUUAGAAAGGGGAAACUCUUUUGACGCACCGCUGGUGAGCACCGCAGUUAUUACGUGAGCUCGAGGACAGGGAAUAAGACAGCUGGCGUUUUCAACACCGGACUAAACGCAACCGAUAAAAACAGGAUAGAGGAGGUCAGGACUGCAGCGGGGUUGAUUUGGAUCAAAUUAGUUCGGUAAAAGAGGUCGAUUGUUUCCUGCAUAUCCUUAAAAGACCAAAUAUGGGAAUGGGGAUCCGGCACAGUAACAGUAUGCCCAGACUUGUUG